RNAcentral lists this transfer RNA (99 nucleotides) under Glycomyces algeriensis. Its description in RNAcentral is "tRNA-Arg". Lineage: Bacteria; Bacillati; Actinomycetota; Actinomycetes; Glycomycetales; Glycomycetaceae. The record is from RNAcentral.
GACGGUCUCACGCGCCAGGAUCACACGUGCCUCGCCGUUUCGGACGGCGACGACCGGCGGGCGGGGCACGUGGUUGUAGUUCGAGCCCAUGGAGCGGCA